UACACUCCUACGGGAGGCAGCAGUGGGGAAUUUUGGACAAUGGGCGAAAGCCUGAUCCAGCAAUGCCGCGUGAGUGAAGAAGGCCUUCGGGUUGUAAAGCUCUUUGGUCAGGGAAGAAACGGUGAGAGCUAAUAUCUUUUGCUAAUGACGGUACCUGAAGAAUAAGCACCGGCUAACUACGUGCCAGCAGCCGCGGUAAUACGUAGGGUGCAAGCGUUAAUCGGAAUUACUGGGCGUAAAGCGUGCGCAGGCGGUUUUGUAAGUCUGAUGUGAAAUCCCCGGGCUCAACCUGGGAAUUGCAUUGGAGACUGCAAGGCUAGAAUCUGGCAGAGGGGGGUAGAAUUCCACGUGUAGCAGUGAAAUGCGUAGAUAUGUGGAGGAACACCGAUGGCGAAGGCAGCCCCCUGGGUCAAGAUUGACGCUCAUGCACGAAAGCGUGGGGAGCAAACAGGAUUAGAUACCCGUGUAGUCCCAUGA
Molecule: ribosomal RNA, 477 nt
Filed under: uncultured organism
Description: partial 16S ribosomal RNA
Rfam family: Bacterial small subunit ribosomal RNA
Source: RNAcentral